CUUAAUUUGUAGUAUUGUUUGUGCAUUUUGCCAUGCCAUGCCUCAUUAAACCGGACAUGCAUCAUACUUGAUUGUGAAUCAUGCCAUGAUUAUGUGAUGGUUGAUUACCAUGUUGUUUGCUUCUUUCCGGUGUGCUUCUUCGGGUUGGUUCCGUUAACGUCGUGUUUGUGAGGAUUCGUUCGACUUCAUCCGUUUGUCUUCUUCAUGGACUCGUUCUUCUUCCUGAGAUACCGCCUCGAUCACGGUCAGUGGAGCUCGCCAUCGAGGCUAGGGCCCAGGAUCUUCUGGCGGAGGCAAAUAGGCAGGCUAAGCAGAGGGAGAUGGAGCUGGACGAGAGGACGACUAGUCUGUUGGAGGCGUAGAGGAACCGGAACGACGCGUCUCACUGGGCCCUAUACGAGCUCCUCGUGUCCGUGUGCGAGAAAAACGGUUAGACCCCUCCGCUGAUGCCCCAGAUUGCUAUAGCGGACAUGCAUGCCUCCCGACAAGCAUCGACCGAUCCUUC
Triticum aestivum (bread wheat) is the source of this 505-nucleotide long non-coding RNA. RefSeq lists it as uncharacterized. Lineage: Eukaryota; Viridiplantae; Streptophyta; Magnoliopsida; Poales; Poaceae. The record is from RefSeq and is a predicted model, not a curated record. The transcript has 3 exons.